Molecule: ribosomal RNA, 429 nt
Filed under: Bacillota bacterium
Lineage: Bacteria; Bacillati; Bacillota
Description: Firmicutes bacterium partial 16S ribosomal RNA
Rfam family: Bacterial small subunit ribosomal RNA
Source: RNAcentral
UAGGGAAUCUUCGGCAAUGGCCGGAAGUCUGACCGAGAAACGCCGCGUGAGUGAAGAAGGUUUUCGGACCGUAAAGAUCUGUUGUUAGUGUAGAACGUUGGUAGGAGUGGAAAAUCUACCAAGUGACGGUAACUAACCAGAAAGGGACGGCUAACUACGUGCCAGCAGCCGCGGUAAUACGUAGGUCCCGAGCGUUGUCCGGAUUUAUUGGGCGUAAAGCGAGCGCAGGCGGUUCUUUAAGUCUGAAGUUAAAGGCAGUGGCUUAACCAUUGUACGCUUUGGAAACUGGAGGACUUGAGUGCAGAAGGGGAGAGUGGAAGUCCAUGUGUAGCGGUGACAUGCGUAGAUAUAUGGGGGACCACCGGUGGCGAAAGCGGCUCUCUGGUCUGUAACUGACGCUGAGGCUCGAAAGCGUGGGGAGCAAACAGG